Cavia porcellus (domestic guinea pig) is the source of this 520-nucleotide long non-coding RNA. RefSeq lists it as uncharacterized. The transcript is spliced from 2 exons. NCBI's taxonomy places the organism in Eukaryota, Metazoa, Chordata, Mammalia, Rodentia, Caviidae. The record is from RefSeq and is a predicted model, not a curated record.
ACUCGGCUCCCUACAAGACUUUUGGAGGUCUUAAAAGGGCUCCCUGUGAAAGCAGGAAAACAAGAGUUAGAAAAUGAACUCAGAGUUGGCAGUGAUGGCUUGGAAGAUGUACUUACAUUUGCUUAUAUGCCAGCAUUGUCAGCAAGUGUUUUAUAGUUAUUUAGAAGAGAAAUCCAAGCUCUUCUGAUUUGUUUUGCAGAUGGUUUUCUAUAAACUACAUUUUUAUCAAGUCUGCAUGUGAACAAUGUUUUAAAGGCUCUACAAUAAGGUUCACAUAGGGUGUAUUUAAGAAACUGGCAACCAGAGUAAAGAAGAAGCAGGGGAAGCACCGGGGGAGGAAACAAAGAACGAGAAGGAGGAGGAGAACGGGUAAGAAGAAUAAGAAGAGAAGAAGAAAAGAAAAGUCUGAUACUGGAGAUGCUCGUGAACAACCUGAGUUCAAUAUGCUUAGAUUGUGAGUAACUUGUGCAAAUGUUUUGUAAGACAAGCAAGCAUUUCUAAUAAAUUUUAACUUUAUAAA